AUGCCUUCCUCUCCCUCCGCCAACCCGGGCCACGGCGUCCGCACCGCCGCCGCGACGUCCAGGCCCACGGGCGCCGAGGGCUUCGCCUCGAUCCUGGCCACUCAGGGCGAGCUCGACGCGCUCUGCCGGGAGCACGGCGUCCCCGAGGGCUUCACCGCGCUCCCCGCCGGCGACCUGCGCGCGAACUCGACGCCGCCGCGGGGGGCCAUCUGCGUGUACGCGCGCGCGCUGGAGGCCGGGAUGCGCGUCCCGCUUCACCGCUUCUUCCUCGAGGCGCUCGCCCACUUCGGCCUCGCGCCGGCCCAGCUCACGCCCAACGGGUGGCGCAACAUGGCGGGCUUCGUCGCGCUCUGCCGCUCCGCCGGCGUGCCGCAGUCCCUCGCGGUGUUCCGGCAUUUCUUCCUGCUGUCCGUCGUCUCCCACAAGCACGGAAAAGGCUGGUACUUCUUCCAAUCCAGGCAGGGCUCCGGCCUGCGCUUCACGGGGAUGCCGAACCCGAACUCCAUUGCUAUGAAGGACUGGAAACGCGAGUUCUUCUUCCUCUCUUCGCCGGAGCCGUGGCCUUGCGCCGUGGAGUGGGGCGAGCCGUCCAAGAGCGCACUCAUGAAGCCGGUGCUCACCCCUCAGGAAAGCAAAUCGGCGGCCAAGCUGCUGCGCGUUCACGGGGGCGCCCCCGUUGAUCUCAGGACGUAUCUCAGCAGCAGCAACCUUGCCGCCGCCAUGGUAGCCACCACUGCAUCACCGCCGCCAUCUACUAGUACUACUCCCAGUUCCAAAGCUAUGGAUCCCGCUGUCAAGGACAUGAUGAAGGUUAUGCUCGCGGAGAAGGCGGCCGCGCAAGCGUCGGCGUCGGCCGUGAAAGCCGAGCCGUGCAGCAACCCAGCAGGGUCGCCAUCUUUGUGCGGGGAGAAAAGGGUUCUGGAGGAAGCCAACGACGAGGAGGGUCUAUCUCUUCCUGUCCACAACAUGAUGAAGUGUAUGCUGGCGGACAAGGCGGCCGCGCAAGCGCCGGCGAAGAAGAGGAUUCGGGAGGAAGCCAGCGGCGGGGAGGAGGUUCCGCGUCUUUCGGCGCCGAACACGCCGCUGUCCCGCGUGUGCUCGCCACCGCCGGGCUUCUCCGGGAAGCGACAGCACAUUCCCAGCAGGCACGACGGAGACACCACGGACUGGGAGGCUGCGCGUGAGCUGCUCCAGGGCGCCGUCUCGCCGCCGCUGGAGCGCGCGUUCGCGGCGAGCGCGCCUUCCGAGGUCGUCAAGUCGAGCUACGCUGCGAUUCUGCAGGCCGCGAACUACGCGUCGUUCUCCUUCCGCCACGCGCUCGACCUGGAGGAGAAGCUGGCGGCCAGGGAGCGCGAGGCCGCGGCGCUGCGGGAGCAGCUGGAGGAGGCAAAGGCCGAGCUCGCCGCGGCGAAGCGGGCGGCAGAAGCAGAGCGGGAGAAGGCAACGGACGAUCUCGCCGCGGAGCUCGAGAUGGCGAAAGGCGGGCUCGCCGUGGCGAAGCGGGCUCGGGAGGCGGAGGCCGAGCUCGCCGCGGCUCGGGCGGAGGCGGUGAAGAAGAGGGCCGAGCUCGCCGCGUUGAAGCGGGCCGCGGAGGCGGAGAAGGCGAAGGCCGAGGAGGAAGCGGCGGCGCUGCAACAGCUCCUGGCGUCCGAGGAGGACGUGCGGCGGCGAGCGGAGGACGCGCUGGAGGCGUACGAGCGCUGGCGAGGCCGUCGCGCUCCGGCCGGUCGUGUUGCUUGA
This 1740-nucleotide ribosomal RNA is filed under the name Triticum aestivum (bread wheat). RNAcentral describes it as "partial small subunit ribosomal RNA". The record is from RNAcentral. Lineage: Eukaryota; Viridiplantae; Streptophyta; Magnoliopsida; Poales; Poaceae.